This 468-nucleotide ribosomal RNA is filed under the name uncultured bacterium. Its description in RNAcentral is "partial 16S ribosomal RNA". It matches the Rfam family "Bacterial small subunit ribosomal RNA", at positions 28 to 507 of the family's 1533-position model. The record is from RNAcentral.
GACGAACGCUGGCGGCGUGCUUAACACAUGCAAGUCGAACGGAAAGGCCCUGCUUUUGUGGGGUGCUCGAGUGGCGAACGGGUGAGUAACACGUGAGUAACCUGCCCUUGAUUUUGGGAUAACUUCAGGAAACUGGGGCUACUACCGGAUCGGAGCUCCUCCUGCAUGGUGGGGGUUGGAAAGUUUCGGCGGGUGGGGAUGGACUCGCGGCUUAUCGGCUUGUUGGUGGGGUAGUGGCUUACCCAGGCUUUGACGGGUAGCCGGCCUGAGAGGGUGACCGGCCACAUGGGGACUGAGAUACGGCCCAGACUCCUACGGGAGGCAGCAGGGGGAAAUAUUGCACAAUGGGCGGAAGCGUGAUGCAGAAACGCCGCGUGCGGGAUGACGGCCUGCGGGUUGUAAACCGCUUUCGCCUGUGACGAAGCGUGAGUGACGGUAAUGGGUAAAGAAGCACCGGCUAACUACGUG